Molecule: ribosomal RNA, 811 nt
Filed under: Enterococcus durans
Lineage: Bacteria; Bacillati; Bacillota; Bacilli; Lactobacillales; Enterococcaceae
Description: bacterial SSU rRNA
Rfam family: Bacterial small subunit ribosomal RNA
Source: RNAcentral
GCAGUCGUACGCUUCUUUUUCCACCGGAGCUUGCUCCACCGGAAAAAGAAGAGUGGCGAACGGGUGAGUAACACGUGGGUAACCUGCCCAUCAGAAGGGGAUAACACUUGGAAACAGGUGCUAAUACCGUAUAACAAUCGAAACCGCAUGGUUUUGAUUUGAAAGGCGCUUUCGGGUGUCGCUGAUGGAUGGACCCGCGGUGCAUUAGCUAGUUGGUGAGGUAACGGCUCACCAAGGCCACGAUGCAUAGCCAACCUGAGAGGGUGAUCGGCCACAUUGGGACUGAGACACGGCCCAAACUCCUACGGGAGGCAGCAGUAGGGAAUCUUCGGCAAUGGACGAAAGUCUGACCGAGCAACGCCGCGUGAGUGAAGAAGGUUUUCGGAUCGUAAAACUCUGUUGUUAGAGAAGAACAAGGAUGAGAGUAACUGUUCAUCCCUUGACGGUAUCUAACCAGAAAGCCACGGCUAACUACGUGCCAGCAGCCGCGGUAAUACGUAGGUGGCAAGCGUUGUCCGGAUUUAUUGGGCGUAAAGCGAGCGCAGGCGGUUUCUUAAGUCUGAUGUGAAAGCCCCCGGCUCAACCGGGGAGGGUCAUUGGAAACUGGGAGACUUGAGUGCAGAAGAGGAGAGUGGAAUUCCAUGUGUAGCGGUGAAAUGCGUAGAUAUAUGGAGGAACACCAGUGGCGAAGGCGGCUCUCUGGUCUGUAACUGACGCUGAGGCUCGAAAGCGUGGGGAGCAAACAGGAUUAGAUACCCUGGUAGUCCACGCCGUAAACGAUGAGUGCUAAGUGUUGGAAGGGUUUCCGCCC